GCGUGGUGGAGCACAGGCUCCUCUUCAGGCCUCCGACGUUCACAUGGAUCAGACCCUCGUCCGAGUCCCGGUGGACCCAGCGGGGCACGCUCUCCUUCACCAUGAUUACCGACUGUGGGGGGGGAAAAGACACAACUUAGACCAACAGUGAGCCCAUGUGGCCCCUCCCCCUGGUCGAUGGAGGACCCAUGCUGAGGCCUCAGGGAGCCGCCUGCUGCUCCCACAGAAAUAAAGUUGAUCUAUAAUUCAGCACGAGGAAGCUCAGCGGUGCAGAGAAGAAGAAAAACACACCUUCGAUAACAAACUCCCUUCGACACCGAACACGAUGCGACUUCACUUCACUGCAGACAAAAGAAAUCUGUUCACGCUCGGCUCCAGUUUGAGAUUUUGA
Molecule: long non-coding RNA, 391 nt
Organism: Platichthys flesus (European flounder)
Lineage: Eukaryota; Metazoa; Chordata; Actinopteri; Pleuronectiformes; Pleuronectidae
Exons: 2
Source: RefSeq, a predicted model, not a curated record